GUGGUUGUAGCUCAAUUGGAUAGAGCAUCGGUUUGUGGAACCGAAGGUUGCGGGUUCAAAUCCCGUCAGCCACC
Molecule: transfer RNA, 74 nt
Filed under: Endomicrobium sp.
Lineage: Bacteria; Pseudomonadati; Elusimicrobiota; Endomicrobiia; Endomicrobiales; Endomicrobiaceae
Description: tRNA-His
Rfam family: tRNA
About the family: Transfer RNA (tRNA) molecules are approximately 80 nucleotides in length. Their secondary structure includes four short double-helical elements and three loops (D, anti-codon, and T loops).
Source: RNAcentral